GGGUCACCCAACAAUCGGUCCUUGUUUACGGAUCCGCAUUUAUGAAGUGAAAGUCCUCAGGAGCCGCAGUUGCUCCCGAGGUUGGUUGCCAUGGGCAAUCGUCAUGGCCGAAAGUCAUGACCUCCCUGUUCUGCAGCUAGUAACUAAUUGAAACGAUACAAAUUACCGCGAUUCUCCGUCUGCCAAUUUAGAGGCUGGUUCUGGUCAAGGGUCAGUGAAAGCCUAUUCAUGAAGCCAUGUUUGAAGUUGCUGCUGCCAGAGCAAGGGGGCGGGCUUGGGCACGGCGUCUCCUCUGGGCUUGGCCACAUACCGUGGAGGGAGUAUGGCAGCCCAGAGCCAAACAAUGGCGGCCGCUCGUCUACCUGGAGCCCAGGCACCCGAAGCACAGAGCCGUCAGUUGGUUUGUGCUGCUCGUCGACAGCCCCAGACAUGGUUUACUGGACAGAAAUAAAUGUUGUAUUCGGAGGGGCACUUUGGGAAUCGGCAAGGCUGAACCAGCCCUUUUCGCCAGCCUGCGGAAGGCUCUCCCUAGAGGGUACCACCCAGCAGCAGCCGCCUGCCCCAGAAGGAGGCUUCUUCCAAUUAUGAAUUACAACAAAGCUCCAUCUCUCCUAAGCUCCCUCCGCUUGGGCCCCGAACAUGCAAGCACACAUCCAUGGGCACACAGGGGCACUGACACACACACCCAUGGACACACAGGGGCACCGACACACACACCCAUGGACACACAGGGGCACCGACACACACACCCAUGGACACACAGGGGCACUGACACACACACCCAUGGGCACACAGGGACACCGACACACACACCCAUGGACACACAGGGGCACCAACACACACACCCAUGGGCACACAGGGACACCGACACACACACCCAUGGACACACAGGGGGACAGGCGCACACUUCCAUGGGCACACAGGGGCACCGAAGAACUUCUCUUAAUUAUGACAGACCAGAGAGCUGGGAAGGGACAGGCUCUUUUCAAAGUGCUCUCAGG
Molecule: long non-coding RNA, 1001 nt
Filed under: Monodelphis domestica (gray short-tailed opossum)
Lineage: Eukaryota; Metazoa; Chordata; Mammalia; Didelphimorphia; Didelphidae
Description: lncRNA (ENSMODG00000042469.1)
Source: RNAcentral